UACUUGGUUUUGCUAUUUACUAUCAAUUCCAAGUUUACUAUCCACAGCGGUCACGGAUAUAUUACUAAAGAGAGUGAAUUUUAAAAUAGUAAACGAAAAAAUAACGGAUAUUGGAAAAAAGGGGGAGGGUAAAAAAAAAUGGUGACAUCCCAUUAGUCUGACAACCAUUAUUCCGACAGCCCAAUACUCCGACAACACACUAUUCUGACAUCCCAUUACUCCAACAGCCCAUUAUUACGACAACCCAUUACUCCGACAGCCCAUU
This 265-nucleotide long non-coding RNA is filed under the name Mytilus galloprovincialis (Mediterranean mussel). Lineage: Eukaryota; Metazoa; Mollusca; Bivalvia; Mytilida; Mytilidae. The record is from RNAcentral.